GACGAACGCUGGCGGCGUGCUUAACACAUGCAAGUCGAACGGAAAGGCCCUGCUUUUGUUGGUCUCUCGUUUGCGGAGCGGGUGGGAAUAACACGUGUAUCCUCCCCUUAUCUUAGGGUUAACUCUAGGAAACGGGGGCUCUAACCGCUUAUAAUCUCUUGCUCCUCGUUGGGGGUUGGAAAAUUUCGGUGGUUGGGGCUGGACUCGCGGCUUAUCCGCUGGUUGGGGGGGUAGUGGCUUACCAAGGGUUUGACGGGUAGCCGGCCUGAGAGGGUGACCGGCCACAUUGGGACUGAGAUACGGCCCAGACUCCUACGGGAGGCAGCAGUGGGGAAUAUUGCACAAUGGGCGGAAGCCUGAUGCAGCAACGCCGGGUGCGGGAUGACGGCCUUCGGGUUGUAAACCGCUUUCGCCUGUGACGAAGCGUGAGUGACGGUAAUGGGUAAAGAAGCACCGGCUAACUACGUG
This 468-nucleotide ribosomal RNA is filed under the name uncultured bacterium. Its description in RNAcentral is "partial 16S ribosomal RNA". It matches the Rfam family "Bacterial small subunit ribosomal RNA", at positions 28 to 507 of the family's 1533-position model. The record is from RNAcentral.